GCUUUCAAAGCCACCCGCUGCUCUUUUUCUUCUUUUAAUGGUGAAGAUUGGGACUGGAUCAUUCUGAGUUGUUUCUGAGCUUUGUAGGAAGUAUCCCAUCAUGUCUGUCCUCAGCCACUAACCCUGGACAUCUCUACAAUUAUGUCUAUGCCACUGCUGGACGAUGGAACACAGCCUGUUCAUCUGGAACACACCUGUCAAUCAUCUAAAACUUCUGCAACUACCUCAAUCAGGGUUCUCUAGAAGGACAGAAUUAAUUUCUUGAGAGUAUCAAGAAACAGGAGCUCAGAAUGUGUGCAUCCAGCCAUCUGAGAUGUUCCCCACAGAAAAGCAAGUUAUUCCUCAUUGCAUUUUUUUAAAUUGUGAUAUCGUAGUAGUCAUUUUGUAGUUCCAACCAAUUUCUCUCCUAUAAAAACAUUCCAUGGUCAAGACAAUUCACUAGGGCCUCAAGAAUAAAUUUUUAAUCAUGCGCUAUUCUUCCA
This 482-nucleotide long non-coding RNA is filed under the name Mus spicilegus (steppe mouse). RNAcentral describes it as "lncRNA (ENSMSIG00000017399.1)". The record is from RNAcentral. Lineage: Eukaryota; Metazoa; Chordata; Mammalia; Rodentia; Muridae.